Sapajus apella (tufted capuchin) is the source of this 1768-nucleotide long non-coding RNA. RefSeq lists it as uncharacterized. Lineage: Eukaryota; Metazoa; Chordata; Mammalia; Primates; Cebidae. The record is from RefSeq and is a predicted model, not a curated record. The transcript is spliced from 3 exons.
ACAAAGGGAAAACAGAUUAUUCCUACUGAAGCCCCUUCUGCUGUUAGCUUCCACCCAGGCGGCCUGUGCCUAAAGGAAUUAGAGUUGAGACUUGAGCGACCACCUGUCAGAGAUGCAGGCUUCACAGGCACAGCUGCAGCAAGAACCCUGGUACCCAAUUGUCUGCGACUACAGCUGGAUCAAGGGUUCAACUGUGGGAAUGGCUCAGUCAGAAGGAGCCAUUCCUCUACCACCUGCAGCUUCAAGGCCAAGGCUGAUUCUGAGAACCAGUGGACCUUCCAAGAGCUGGUUUUAGAGCCUCCCUUGGGAUGAAGAAUGCUCCACAGCUGGAAGGUGAUUCAAUUGAAGGCUCAGCAGACAACACAUAAGAGCAUCAAGUCAUUGGCCACAUUCAUGCUCAAGUGUCCUGAAACCAAAGAUUAUUAGAAGAAAACUUCCAUUGUACAGCAAGUGGAUUCCCUGAUCUUCACGCUUAGGGUGCAGAGAUACAUAAUGCUGCCAGAAGGAUGCAACAGAUGAAAGGAUGUCACAAAAGUACCUUUUGCACUUGAUGAAAAGAAGGAAAACAGCAAAGCAAGUUCAAGUCCAAACACGACAACACUGCAGGGAUCCUUUGCUGAAGGUAGAAUUUUAGACCACAGAAUGCUCUUGAUGAUUUCAACCCACCAGGCUCCUUUGAUUUGAGAAGCCAUGGUCCAUCCCCAUCCAAUUGUGAUCAGUACCUAGGGAGACCAAUUCCCAGAUGGACACACAGCAUUGACAGGCCUAAGCCCUGCUCCUCUCAAUUCCCAUCCUGUGAGAACAGAAGUCCAGAGCUGCUGGGAUGAGACAGCAUGUCACCUGGGACUCUGCCAGGGUAGAGUAUGAACAAUGCCAUGUUCUUGCUGAAAAUGCUUAGCCUGAGUUUCAUAGGAGGUAAUCCUCAGACAAUUGCAGAAUGUAGAACAUUGAACAGCACAGCUGACCUGUCUCCUUCAAACAGUCCAUGUCACCACCAAGAACACAACAAAGAAGCAGAGAGACAUUUUGGGUUCAAAAAGAGCAAAAAGACUAUGUAGCUUAUGCAUUUUUAGCCAUUUUGAACCCCAAACAUCUCUUCCUCUUUUGGUUGUUGUCAUUGAUGGUGGUGACAUGGACUUGUUUGUAGAGGACAGGUCUGCUGUCUGGCUCAAAGCUCCACAUUCUGAAGUCAAAAUGUCUUCAUGAUUAAAUUCAGCCUAAACAUUUUGCCAGGAACACUGCAGAGUCAUGCUGUGAGCUUCCUACCAGUCCAUCUGCAGGCAAAGAAGGCCCAGUAUCUUAGUCUUCAUUAUUGUGAUACUAGGAUGGUCACUUGCUUAAGGAGGGGUCCAGGAGUUCUGUUGCUUGUUAAGAUACCUUAUUUAUAAUUAAUUUGGAAAGUGGUUUGAAACAGUAUAAAUAUCCUAUAUACUAACAAUCUUUCUCUGAACAUUUUAUCAUUAAUUAAUCACCCCUGCCUGUGUCAGCUAUUAUACUUAUGGUUAUACAUUGAAAAUUUUCUUUUUUAUUAUUAUUAUACUUCAAGUUCUGCGGUAUAUGUGCAGGUCAUGCAGGAUUGUUAGAUUGGUAUACACAUGCCAUGGUGUUUUGCUACAUCCAUCCCCUCAUCUUCUAUAUUAGGUAUUUCUCCUAAUAUUAUCCCUCCCAAUCCCCUCAUCCCCUGUUAUCCUUCCACUAUCUCCUCACCCCACAACAGGCCCCAGUGUGUGAUAAUCCCCUCCCUGUGUCCAUGUGUUCUCACUGUUCA